Molecule: long non-coding RNA, 1588 nt
Organism: Jaculus jaculus (lesser Egyptian jerboa)
Lineage: Eukaryota; Metazoa; Chordata; Mammalia; Rodentia; Dipodidae
Exons: 4
Source: RefSeq, a predicted model, not a curated record
GAAUGCCAGUUAGCCUUUGUAGUUCUGAGCCUAGAGAGGGGGUGACAGACACUGGGCUUCAGGUCACAAGCCUGGCUUGGAUGGUUUUUGGAGACAUUUCCUCUGGGUUCCCAAACUCUCAAAAUGUGUUCAUCACAACAUGAGCCUCCCAUCACAGCCUAAGCACGUGUCUUGGAGGCUGAUACCAGCAGAGGUUUUCGCAGUGGUACCUGUUGGCUGACUGAUUAGGUCAGCUCCCUUUCUUGUACCAUAGAAGCAUCAACAGAGCGGAAUACAACAUUUUUGCAUAUUUUUCUUCACCCUUCCCACGUGCUUGCUUCUCCCAGACCCCUAGGGUUAAUCUCCAGGACAACCUUGCUUUGUGAGCCUACUUGAAGAUUUGGACCCCAGAGACCCAGACAAAGGCUCAAGGAGAUGGACUUUCUCAGAGAAAACACCUAGGAGAGCCAGUAAAGAUUAAAUGUGCUUUCUCAAAGGCAGCCACUUCAUGCUGCUAUGUGGAAUGGACUAUUAUUAAUAUUUUUGAGAGAGAGAGAGAGGGAACGAACUAGGUAUGAUGACGACGACCAGCUUUUCUGAGAGGAAAAGGAAAGGGGAAGGGACAAAAAACGGAGAAACCUUGAGCUGAACGGAUUGUGCAUAAGAAGAAAACCUACAGAGUAACCAAAGCUCUGCUUCAGGUCAUUUAUGCACUAGCAUCAGGUCCCUUUGGGUGGCUCAACAGAAGGCCAGAGAUCUGCUGAUGGCUGCACCAGAAGAGCCCCCUGCUGCCAGCGGCCCCCUGAGGAUCUACCUAUUAAGAAAAAACCUGGGAAGAACCACACACUGGUCCUCAUAGCUCCCCUUCUCAGGACUAUCUUCCCAAUGAAGGACACAGACUUCAGAGACUGCAAUAUUGAUGGACCCUCAUGCCAACCGCCAUGUUGAAACAAAGAAAGUGACCAUCUGAAGACAUCUUUCCUGUCUAGCGGCACACCCACUAGUGCAGUUUCAGCCAACAAAACUCUUAGAAUAAGAGGCAAUCUUUGCAAGAAACAGAAAAGCCCAAACAUGACAUCUAACGCUCUCAUGGGUCAAGGAUGUUCACAUCCUCAUGUGUCUCCCUCUGUUUGUAUUUAAAUUCAUGUGACAUUCAUUUUUUUUCCUAGUAUGGAUGUGCUUAUUACCCCUGUAGCUUUAAAUAUAAUUCACACAAAUGUAUUAAUAUGUUAAGACACAGGAUUAAUGCAAUAAGAAGAAUGGCUUUUAGCAAUACACAGAAUUUGUUCUUUGAAGUGACCUAGAGAUUGAGAUGGAACAAAGUGGUCACAGAUGAUUCACAGGAUCAAGAAAUGGCAGAAAAGAAAAAAAGUUCAUUAUUCCACCUGGCAUCAAGCAAUCAUCACCCUUUGGUUUUGUCAGGCAAGCUGACUUCUGACAUAUGGUUGGUUGUUGCCUCUAAAGAGCUUAAAUCUAGUAGGACAAAGGCACUUCAGCUUUUGAAAAGGUCAUAGUGCAGGCCAGUAGAUGAUAGUAGCAAAAACAAAACAAAAAAAAAAAAGAGCUCAAAAAUGGUUUUCUUCAUAUGGGCAAAACUGGCUUUCUUAAU